Molecule: long non-coding RNA, 1421 nt
Organism: Oncorhynchus tshawytscha (Chinook salmon)
Lineage: Eukaryota; Metazoa; Chordata; Actinopteri; Salmoniformes; Salmonidae
Source: Ensembl
GAAUUUAGCCAGGACACCAGGGUUAACACCCCUACUCUUACAAUAAGUGCCAUGGGAUCUUUAAUAACCUCAGAGAGUCAGGACACCCGUUUAACGUCCUAACCCGAAAGACGGAACCCUACACAGGGCAAUCACAGCCCUGGGGCAUUGGGGUAUUUUUUUUUAGACCAGAGGAAAGAGUGCCUCCUUACUGGCCCUCCAACACCACUUCCAGCAGCAUCUGGUCUCCCGUCCAGGAACUGACCAGGACCAACCCUGCUUAGCUUCAGAAGCAAGCCAGCAGUGGUAUGCAGGGUGGUAUGCUGCUGGCAAUACUGCUGGCAACUGAAGAUGAAAUAAAAAUCUACUUCAAACAGCCAAUAGAAAAAAGUCUGAGGCCCGAAAAACAGGUGGGGAUCCACCAGCACUCAGAGGCUGAAGAAAUGGCCCUCAGUCAAAACAGUGGGCGACCUAUUGCUGAAGGCAUCUCUGGAGGAAGCUCAUCUGAACCAACCACUCCCCAGGACACAAGGGCCUACAUGAGGAGGAUGAUGAAGACACCUUGUCAGUUGCCACAGAGAGGGAAGAUGGCCUAUUGAGGUUUACACCUUAAAAAUAACAUUUAACAGUUGAUGAUAGUGUUGUACCAUAAUAAACUUGCACCUUAUUUUUCUCUAACAGAGCAAUGUUGGAAAUUACAGGAGGAACAGGGUCCAUCCACCUCCACAGCACAACUUACCUCAGAAAUGAAGACUCCAUAAAAAGAAAGGCAUAUUGUCUUUAUUUGACACGGGAGGAGAUGGGUCAAUCAGAAAUGCUGUGUCUAUGACUACUCUUCCAUCUCGUGUGUCAGCGGGGUGGUCAGGAUCGUUAUCAGGAUUGUGCGCUGGUUGAGUAGGACAUUGUUCUCCUCUAAUUGUGGAAAUGUUGUGGAGAAUCACACAUGCCACAAUGAUGUCACAUGCCCUUUCUGGGGUGACCCUGAGCCUACGAAGGCACUGGAACCAGGCCUUGGGCAUCCCAAUUGUCAUCUCUACCUCAGGAUCAGGGUAAGGGGUCAGCAAAUAGGACUGGCAGGUUUACCCUCUGUCACCGAGCAGGUAACCAUCGAACUGUCCUAUGAUAAUACGAGGAUACAGUUUUGUUCAGUUGCAAUUGGAGGAAACAAAAUAUUGUAAUAGGAUAUAAUAAGAUAUAGCUAUAUACACUACUGUUCAAAAGUUUGGGGUCAAUUAGAAAUGUCCUUGUUUUUAAAGAUUAGAUUUUUUAAAAUGUCAGUUUUAUUGCUUCUUUAAAAUCAGAACAAUAGUUUUCAGCUGUGCUAACAUAAUUGCCAAAGGGUUUUCUACUGAUCAAAAAGCCUUUUAAAAUUAUAAACUUGGAUUAGUUAACACAACGUGCCAUUGGAACACAGGAGUGAUGGUUGCUGAUAAAUGGGCCUC